AGAUACCCCUGUAGUCCCAGCCGUAAACUAUGCUCGCUAGGUGUCAGGCAUGGCGCGACCGUGUCUGGUGCCCGCAGGGAAGCCGUGAAGCGAGCCACCUGGGAAGUACGGCCGCAAGGCUGAAACUUAAAGGAAUUGGCGGGGAGCACCACAACGGGUGGAGCCUGCGGUUUAAUUGGACUCAACGCCGGGAAGCUCACCGGAUAAGACAGCGGAAUGAUUGCCGGGCUGAAGACUCUGCAUGACUAGCUG
This 252-nucleotide ribosomal RNA is filed under the name uncultured archaeon. RNAcentral's name for it is "partial 16S ribosomal RNA". It matches the Rfam family "Archaeal small subunit ribosomal RNA", at positions 731 to 982 of the family's 1478-position model. The record is from RNAcentral.